GUAUAAAAGGAGGUUAAAGAGUUAAUAUUUCGGAGAAGAUUAAUUUAGUAUGAAGAGGUGGAAUUCGUACAUAUUAAGUUAUAUUAUUGCUUUUUGUUAUUUGAUUCCUCGAAAAUUAGUUGGAAGACCGGGAUUAGAUACCCCGUUAUUUUUUUUGUAAAUUUUGAUUUUUGGUUGAUUUACCGGAGUAUUACGGGUUAAAAUAUUUCUGUGGCUGCGUAAGUUAUAGGUUAUUUAGAUACUUAAAACUCAAAAAACUUGGCGGUGCCUUAUUUCCUCCCAGGGGAACCUGUCCUGUAAUCGAUGAUCCGCGAUUUAUCUUACUUUUUUUUGAACGCUAUUAAUUGGUUAUCAGUUUGUAUACCGUCGUCGUCAGAUUACCUUUAAGAGUAAAGAAGUUGUCGGUUGAAUUAGGAAUUUUGUUUGCUUUAGUUUUAAGGUUAUUUGCAAAAUCGAUUUUUGAUGUCAGAUCAAGGUGCAGCUAAUAAAAAAGUAGAGAUGGGUUACAAUGUAAAUUUUAUAUUAUGGAUAUUAACUUGAAAAAGUUAAGUGAAAGUGGACUUGGAAGUAAUUUUAUUUUUGUGUAUGUAAAUUAGAAAGUUUAUGUGAAAAAAGGUACUAAGGUGCGC
This 629-nucleotide ribosomal RNA is filed under the name Phorcus sauciatus. RNAcentral describes it as "partial 12S ribosomal RNA". Lineage: Eukaryota; Metazoa; Mollusca; Gastropoda; Trochida; Trochidae. The record is from RNAcentral.